CCUACGGGAGGCUGCAGUGGGGAAUAUUGCGCAAUGGGCGAAAGCCUGACGCCGCGACGCCACGUGAGGGAUGAAGGUCUUCGGAUCGUAAACCUCUGUCAGCAGGGAAGAACGGUCACUGUGCUAAUCAGCAGUGAAUUGACGGUACCUGCAAAGGAAGCACCGGCUAACUCCGUGCCAGCAGCCGCGGUAAUACGGAGGGUGCGAGCGUUAAUCGGAAUUACUGGGCGUAAAGCGCUCGUAGGCGGUAUGUCAAGUCAAGGGUGAAAUCCCCGCGCUCAACGUGGGAACUGCCUUUGAAACUGGCAAACUGGAGUGUGUGAGAGGAUAGUGGAAUUCCAGGGGUAGGAGUGAAAUCCGUAGAUAUCUGGAGGAACAUCAGUGGCGAAGGCGACUAUCUGGAACAUAACUGACGCUGAGGAGCGAAAGCGUGGGUAGCAAACAGGAUUAGAUACCCCUGUAGUC
Molecule: ribosomal RNA, 465 nt
Filed under: uncultured bacterium
Lineage: Bacteria
Description: partial 16S ribosomal RNA
Rfam family: Bacterial small subunit ribosomal RNA
Source: RNAcentral